GCUGGUUUGGCUCAGUGGAUAGAGCAUCGGCCUGGGGACCGAAGGGUCUCAAUUCAAUUUUGAACCCCAGUU
This 72-nucleotide transfer RNA is filed under the name Myotis brandtii (Brandt's bat). It matches the Rfam family "tRNA". From Rfam's summary of the family: Transfer RNA (tRNA) molecules are approximately 80 nucleotides in length. Lineage: Eukaryota; Metazoa; Chordata; Mammalia; Chiroptera; Vespertilionidae. The record is from Rfam by way of RNAcentral.